Molecule: non-coding RNA, 802 nt
Organism: Caenorhabditis elegans
Lineage: Eukaryota; Metazoa; Nematoda; Chromadorea; Rhabditida; Rhabditidae
Source: Ensembl
AUUGAGCAAGAUGGGGAUGUAGUCAAAUCACAAGAAGACGCUCGCGCGGAGCAUCAAUCAAUCCGCGAAGGGCAUCGAGCUGAAAGAGAGAGCAGAACAGCGGAGCCAAAAAAUAUGGAUAAGAUGAUGAAACUAGUCAAUUCUCUCGUAGAACGUGUCGCUUCGUCAUCUGAUGCGGUUGUUCCAAAGAAUCCAUUGUCCAGCUCCACCAAGCCAGCGAAAAAGUUCAAGUCUCUCGAUGCUCGUCGAUCCAGUUUGGCCAAGCGGACUGGAGCACAUUGGAAAAAAUAAUUGGAAAAGAUUAGAGAUGAGGAAAGCAAAAGCCGUGGUCGAUGCUGAAAGGCAGAAUAAGUUCAACCCGAUUUUUUCCCGACAAAGAUGGAACUCAAGGAUCACCUCAGAGACAAUCAGGGAGAGGAGCAAAAGUGUGAAAUUCCCUUUCAGCAUCGACCACGGCUUUUGCUUUCCUCAUCUCUGAUCUUUUCCAAUUCUUUUUUCCAAUGUGCUCCAGUCCGCUUGGCCAAACUGGAUUGACGAGCAUCGAGAAACUUGGACUUUUUCGCUGGUUUGGUGGAGCUGGACGAUGGAUUCUUUGGAGCAACCGCAUCAGAUGACGAAGCGACACGUUCUACGAGGGAAUUGACUAGUUUCAUCAUCUUAUCCAUAUUUUUUGGCACCGCUGUUCUGCUCUCUCUUUCAGCUCAAUGCCACAGCGCCCAUGGUGCCCCAUCUUGCUCGAUUUGAAAAAUUUUAUAGUUUUAGAUGUAAAAUACAAGUUUUUGAAAUGUUGAAUCAAUAAAGA